AUCAUUUCUUGGCCUUUUGGCUAAGAUCAAGUAUAGCUUUCUUUUUUUAAAAUAAACCUCAUCAAGGUGAAUUUUAUUAAUUAAUUUAUUUGUUUGGCUGUACUGGGUGUUAGUUGUGACACUCGAAGUCUUGCAGCAUGCGGGACCUGUUU
RNAcentral lists this small nuclear RNA (152 nucleotides) under Bos grunniens (domestic yak). Its description in RNAcentral is "U2 spliceosomal RNA (ENSBGRG00000025392.1)". It matches the Rfam family "U2 spliceosomal RNA". From Rfam's summary of the family: U2 is a small nuclear RNA (snRNA) component of the spliceosome (involved in pre-mRNA splicing). Complementary binding between U2 snRNA (in an area lying towards the 5' end but 3' to hairpin I) and the branchpoint sequence (BPS) of the intron results the bulging out of an unpaired adenosine, on the BPS, which initiates a nucleophilic attack at the intronic 5' splice site, thus starting the first of two transesterification reactions that mediate splicing. The record is from Rfam by way of RNAcentral. RNAcentral also lists the same sequence under 1 other name. Lineage: Eukaryota; Metazoa; Chordata; Mammalia; Artiodactyla; Bovidae.